RNAcentral lists this ribosomal RNA (118 nucleotides) under Nannospalax galili (Upper Galilee mountains blind mole rat). Lineage: Eukaryota; Metazoa; Chordata; Mammalia; Rodentia; Spalacidae. The record is from RNAcentral.
GUCUGUAGUCAUACCACCCUGAAUAUGCUUGAUCUUGUCUCAUCUCAGAAGCUAAGCAGGUUGAGCCUAGUUAGUACUUGGAUGGAAGACUACCUGGGAAUAUGUGUUGCUGUAGCCU